CAGAAAAAAAAUGUCUGAAUUAGGUUAGUUAUCAUUACAAUGAUUCAUUGUAUAUAAUAAAUAAGAUGAGUAUUAGAAAUUUUGAUUACUAAAUAUGAAAAAUUUUCUUAGAAACAUCUCUUAAUGAGAAAGAUGAGACUUUUUUCAAAUAGCUUUUGUUUCAACAAAGGAGUAUUUGUUGUUGGGACCACAUGGGCUCCAGUAUCAGUGCUACUUCUCUCUCUCUCUCUCUCUCUCUCUCUCUCAGUUAUGGAGAUAGAAGCACUGAGAAACAUUUAACUCAAAUAAAUAGCUGGGAAUGAAGGGUGUUUUGUGACAGCUUUGCCAAUAUAUUCUUUGUACUCUCUUCAAAUUUAUAGACCAAGAAUCAGACAGAGUGAGCUCAUAAAAACAAUUUAACUGUCAACUAACAACCCAACUAGAUCCUCCUUCAAUUUUUAGAAAGCUCAGAACUAGAAACCCCCUGCCAUUAAAAAGGAUUGGCUUCACAGGUGUACUGGGAUACUUACUUUCUCAACUCUGACCUCAACACAUCAAAGUGUUCCUUUGAUUGGCACCCCAGAUAUUUUACAUUUGGGGGAAACAGGAAGCACACAUCUUAACCAGUCAGAAGUCUUUUCUCUUGUAAAGCAGAAUUCAGAGACAUCCCACCACUAAGGCAGAUCCAUAUAGGAAAGGACCUGAUGGAAGAUGAGGAUCUGGCAAUGAUUCCCUGGACACUCUGUGCUCAACAGCUCAUAAGCUUUGGAUAUCCCUCCUACAGCCACAGCCCGCUCCAUUGAAAGAAGGAACCUAAGAUGAAGCAUCCUGAGCGAUGGCUGCCAUUUUUACAGUCUUACUGCAAAGACACGUGGGCAGAUUCUCAUCUCAACACAGAAGGACAUGAAGAUUUUCUACACAGGAAACUAGAGUGACUUCCAGAACUUUUUUCUCAGUUUCAAGAACCAAAACAGAAGGUCACAAAUAGACCAGUCUUUCUCAAAUUUUGACUUAAUGAGAAGGAAUAGGGAUUUUAAGGUCAAGAAUAGAGUUCCCAAAAAAUGUUUCUAGUUCUUCAAAAGGAAUCAAAUAAUGAAUAAGAAAAACCCAACAAAUACCAUGUUUAUAUCUUAUAUUAGUAAAACAUUUACUGCACAGUGAAUUUUCUAAUCCCCAUCUCUAAUUCACAAGAAUCAGACUAUUUUGACAAGACACUUGUAAACUCAUUUAUAUAUGCUACUAAUGAGAGUUAUGUAAAUUUCUCCCAUUUCUCUAUCGAAAUACACACUGCUUUCCUAAUUUUAUGACCCAGCUUUUUUCAGGUCUAUUCCCACAUCUUAGGCUGAUGCCACAGAGCUUGAAUAAUUUGAUUAUUUACAGAACAAAUGGUAUUUAACCCACUUGGACCCCUCAUACCGGGUUGUGAGGUUUGGGCACGCCUGGGGAGUCCUGCCCAUCUCCUCACCUCUUUGCUACAUCAGCGGCUUUCCCUCACGCCUCCGCACUGGAGUGCAGUCCUGAGGCCUCAGGUCACUCUCUAAGUUGACUGUAACUUUCACAAUACCUGUGGCCCAACCUGUCCCCCACCAUGCCUUCCACUGUGAUCCUGUCCCUUUCUAAGCUGUGUGCUUGGUUUCAUUUUUUUUUCCCUCUCCCAACUAUUUUACUAACAACAGGAGUGGGUCCCAGUUGGAUUCCUAGACCUGAAAUGUAAAUGGCUGCCCAAAAGAUAUACAGAAAAGUAUGUUGUGAAUCAACCCCUGGCUCACAAUCCACUCGCAACUCUCUUCCUCAUCUGCCUUCCCUUUCCCCUCCACUGACAAACUUCUGGGAAACAAAGGCUGUCACUCACUUCAGGAGCCUGAGAGGUGAAAGGAAAAUCUUCUUCAGAUGAAGUUAGUGGCCCCACUGUGUCUAGGAAGCUACAAGUGACUGUCCAUAAAAACACAAAGAUCGUCUCCUCCCCUCACUGGACACGAUAUAUCUGUACAGAUAAUACAGUGUUGUCAAAAGUGAUUCUCUUUUAGAUGAAAUCAAAUUAAAAAUUUUUUUCUCUUAUAUUUUAAGGACAAUAUCUACUUUAAGGCACACCAUAAACUCCCCACUGUCUGACUAACUCUGCCCCCGCUGCUCCAGAUUCAUAUGCCCACUUGUCUACCAGAGUCCCUACCUCCACUGUCUUGUCCUCGCCUAAUCUUGCCUUUCUCAAAGUCACCACCCCGCACCCCACUGCCAAGUUAAGAACUCAGAAGCUGUCACCAGUUGCUUCCCUUUUGUGCCAUCAUCCACGCCGCCAGUCUAUCAGCAGGUCCUACUGGUUUCACUACCCAAAUACAUCUGGCUUGUACCCACUAUCAUCUCUGCUUCCUCCACUCUGGAACGAGGUGUCACCCUCUCCCAUCUGCACACUCUCCUUGCCUCACGAGCCUCUAGCAUGCUCUACCCAGUGGCCAGAAUGGCCUCCUAAAGACAGAGCAUCAGGCCAUUUAGGAAACGGCAUACAAAAUCUGCAUUUUAUAAAGAGUUGUAGCGGGGGUGCAGAGCUGCUUUAUUACAAGGCAGCAUUUACUAGGUGCAGAGUUUUGGUGGGAAGGGUGGUAUCUGGGGAAAGUGUAAUUCAUCCUCUUCACUUUGGGGCUGUUCUGCAUUUCUUGAGCAGACCACCCCUAGCAGCAGAGGCAGGAGGUCCAAAAGUCCUUGGUCACAGGUGCAGCGAUCUAAGAGCCUGUGAUACACUUUGUUUCCCUUUGUUCAGAGUCCAAGGCCCAGAGCCCCAUCUGUCUGUAUCCUAGUUAGCAAUGAACAUUUUAUUUUCUCUACUCACCUGGAAGGUAUCUGGAUUGUUUCAAGUAGUACUGUUUAGCCACUGACGCAGCUGACAAUUCAGAAUCAGAUUUUAGGGCAACAGUGGCAGGUAAGCUCUUGUUUUCCUCUGUCAGGAGGUUGGAGCCUGCGGGUACCGCCUCUGGGAACCUUGGAAGUCAACAGAAGGUCGCAUUAUAGUGCCAACAUCAAGACGUUCCCCCCAACCCCCUGCACCUGAUUUUAAACUAGCCAGAGCCACUCACUCAGAUGGCUGCCCUCGGUCCUCUGGCUGAUAGGAAUGCUAAUGACCGCCCGUCCUUUGUAGAGAUUAGGCAGAACUGUUUCUGAUACCAGACAGUAUGCGACAGAAAGCUUUGUAACUGGGCAGCAACUUGCUUGUGUGUAACAUGUAUCUAUAUUUCCUGAAAUUGCUGCACUUUCAAAAUGUGGGACGCCAGUGAGUUUGAAAGGCAGGCAAUAACAGCCAUCUUCGUCCGUCUACUAAAAUAAUUUAUAAGAUGCUGAGGUUGAUUUGGGCAUGGUUUGGAUGGGCUAGGAAAACUUCAGUGGGGAAAGAAGUGCUAGAAAAGCUCCCAGCUACCAUUUCCAAUUACCCUAGCGACAUACAGACAACAGGUCUUGCAUUUGCAGAGACGUGCAUGUCCCCCAGGGGCACCUGCCAGCUGCUUGGUUGUGUCCACACUGAGACUGACUCUGCCCCUCAGCCCUUGCCACCCACAGCUCGGUUUCCAGCUUCCAGGCUUAGCUCUGCCUUGUUCCCAAGGCCAUCUUGAUCGCACAGCAGUGCACAAGGCAGCCGUCAGCCGCUACCUGAGGAUGGACUGUCAUCUGCUUUGCUACGCGGCACUCUGCUGUAAGGAGCCCUCAGGACUGACCUCUUCCUCCCUCACCUCCUGACUGGCUUCUUCUUUUGCUGGGGCCUGAAUGUACUGCUCAGCCCCUGCCCCCACCUCCAAGCAUCUCUGGCUGCCCUUAGAAAUCCACGCUGCCACCCCUUGGCACUGGACACUGACUCGGUUGACCUUUGAACCUGGGCCACCCCCUCUGAGGGAGUGCUCGACACAGGUAGGGCACCGCACUGGAGGCAGCUUCACCAGUGCUGGCUUCUCUCCCUCUCCUCAGCCCACUCUGGAAAGUUCUCCUGUUCUCGAAACUGCUCAGUCUAAAGAGCACCUUGUCAGCAUGGCCCGCCCGUAGGCAGGACUGUGGAGGCCCUGGAGUUGCCUCACGGUGGCGCACAGGGCACGCUCUUGUCUCGUGUUAUAAGUCUUCGAAGGUCUUGUUUUUGCUGGGGUAUAUUUGAUGGGUCGAGGACAGGCUAAAUAGUGUUUAGACCUUUGUUUAGUACCAACUAUAUAUUCAGUAAAAGUGAACUGAGUAUGCAUGUCUACAGUAUAAAAAGAAAUACAAAUAUCUUGCUUUUGUUCACUUUUAAAAAGAUAACCGUUAAAUAAAAGAUUUGCACUUU
Sciurus carolinensis (gray squirrel) is the source of this 4273-nucleotide long non-coding RNA. RefSeq lists it as uncharacterized. Lineage: Eukaryota; Metazoa; Chordata; Mammalia; Rodentia; Sciuridae. The record is from RefSeq and is a predicted model, not a curated record. The transcript has 2 exons.